ACGCUCGACAGUGUCAGCAGCCGCGGUAAUACGGAGGGUGCAAGCGUUAUCCGGAUUCACUGGGUUUAAAGGGAGCGCAGGCGGAUUGGUAAGUCAGUGGUGAAAGGCUUGGGCUUAACUCGGGAACUGCCAUUGAUACUAUCAGUCUUGAAUAUUGUUGAGGUUUGCGGAAUGGGUCAUGUAGCGGUGAAAUGCAUAGAUAUGACCCGGAACACCUAUUGCGAAGGCAGCAGGCUAAACAAAGAUUGAACGCUGAGGCUCGAAAGCGUGGGGAUCAAACAGGAUUAGAUACCCUGGUAGUCCACGCCCUAAACUAUGAUUACUCGACAUACGCGAUACACUGUGUGUGUCUGAGCGAAAGCAAUUAAGUAAUCCACCUGGGAAGUACGACCGCAAGGUU
RNAcentral lists this ribosomal RNA (400 nucleotides) under uncultured bacterium. Its description in RNAcentral is "bacterial SSU rRNA". It matches the Rfam family "Bacterial small subunit ribosomal RNA", at positions 493 to 895 of the family's 1533-position model. The record is from RNAcentral.